RNAcentral lists this ribosomal RNA (814 nucleotides) under uncultured bacterium. RNAcentral's name for it is "bacterial SSU rRNA". It matches the Rfam family "Bacterial small subunit ribosomal RNA", at positions 8 to 796 of the family's 1533-position model. The record is from RNAcentral.
AGAGUUUGAUCAUGGCUCAGAACGAACGUUGGCGGCGUGGUUGAGGCAUGCAAGUCGCACGAGAAGCACGUAGCAAUACGUGUUGUAAAGUGGCGGAAGGGUGAGGAAUGGGUAGAUAACGUACCCAGAAGAUGGGGAUAACGGCUCGAAAGAGCCGCUAAUACCCGAUGAGACCACAUCAUGGAAACAUGGAGAGGUCAAAGGCCGGGGAUCUUCGGACCUGGCGCUUCUGGAUCGGUCUGCUUCCUACCAGCUAGUUGGCGGGGUAAUGGCCCACCAAGGCUGCGACGGGUACCCGGGCUGAGAGGCUGAUCGGGCACAUCGGCACUGAGACACUGGCCGGACACCUACGGGUGGCUGCAGUUCGGAAUAUUCGGCAAUGGACGAAAGUCUGACCGAGCGACGCCGCGUGCGGGAUGAAGGCCCUAUGGGUUGUAAACCGCUUUCGCGAUUAAGUAAAUCAUGCAGGUUUAAUAAACCGGUAUGUUGAAUAAGGAUCGUAAAGAAGCCCCCGCUAAUCACGUGCCAGCAGCGGCGGUAAUACGUGAGGGGCGAACGUUGUUCGGUGUCACUGGGCUUAAAGGGUGCGUAGGUGGUUGCGUAAGUAAGGUGUGAAAUCCCUCGGCUUACCCGGGGAAUUGCAUUUUAUACUGCGUGGCUUGAGGACUAAAGGGGAAAAGGGAACUCCAGGUGUAGCGGUGAAAUGCGCAGAUAUCUGGGGGAAGGCCGGCGGCGAAGGCGCUUUUCUGGUUAGUACCUGACACUGAGGCACGAAAGCGUGGGGAGCAAACAGGAUUAGAUACCCUAGUAGUCC